This 956-nucleotide long non-coding RNA is filed under the name Mustela putorius furo (domestic ferret). Its description in RNAcentral is "lncRNA (ENSMPUG00000024805.1)". Lineage: Eukaryota; Metazoa; Chordata; Mammalia; Carnivora; Mustelidae. The record is from RNAcentral.
GCAAUAUGUAUGGUGAGUCUGUGGAAUCCGGAGCAUUGAGAAAACAGAACGCCCUUCUUUUCAAGGUCUGAGCCAGUGAGGAGGGCACACUAUCUUCAUGAAAGACAGGGGUCUAUGACAUUGGAUGAAGAAGCUCCAGAAGGGUGCACAAAACACCGAUGAGAGAGUAGGUGAAGUGCAGCCUGCCAGGCCUUCAGCAGGUGACAGCUCUGCGGGAUGUGGUCUCCACUGUUUCCGCAGCCUCUGGUGCUCUGUGCUGAGACUCCUUGUCCACAGUUCCUCCUCUGCAACCUAAACCUUGCACACGGUCUGAAGCGACUAUGUGCUGGGCCCAGGAAUACGUCUGCAAGAUCCAUGAUCUCCUUUCCUCUUUAAGAAUCAUGAUGGGCUGGGGGCACCUGUGAGGCUCAGUCGGUGAGGCAUCUGCCUUCAGCUCAGGUCGUGAUCUCGGGGUCCUGGGAUCAAGCCCUUCGUCAGGCUCCGAGCUCAGUGCAGAGGCGUCUUGGGAUUCUCUCUCCCUCUCUCUCUGCCCCUCUAACCCAUGCACUCUCUCCAUCUCUCUCUAAAAUGAAUAAAUAAAUCUUUAAAAUAUAUAAGUUAUUCAAUUCAUUUAAACUGAAGAAAAAGUUCACCCAUUUCUUCCACCCCCACCCCCACCAAUCUAGUCUGUCUAUGAUCUCGCUUGUUGCUCACAGAUAAGAGAAAUCAUCUGGUAUUUGUGUUUCUAUGUAUGACUUACUUCACUUAGGAUAACACCCUUGAAGUCCAUCCACGAUGGCAAGAUUUCCUUCUUUUUUAGCUGAGUAGUGUUCCAUUAUAUUUAUCCCACAUCUUCUUUAUCCAUUUGUCUGUCAAUGAGUGGAUUCUCAUUUUGGAGACUCGGCUACUGUAAAUAACGCUGCAGUGAACAUGGGCGUGCACAUACCGUUCUGAGUGAGGGGUUUGGUUUUCUUAAG